This 333-nucleotide small RNA is filed under the name Pan troglodytes (chimpanzee). RNAcentral describes it as "processed transcript". Lineage: Eukaryota; Metazoa; Chordata; Mammalia; Primates; Hominidae. The record is from RNAcentral.
CAAGAGCGAGGAGAAGCGGGAAAAGAUGAAACGGACCCUAAUCCUGCGGCUGAAGCGCGUCCCCAGCAUUCAUACGUUGCAUGAUGAGUUCUCAUCAGCUUACACAGCUACUGGAAGUUUAAAAGAUUGGAAGACCCGUUUGAGCUACUUCUUGCAAAAUUCCUCUACUCCUGGGAAGCCCAAAACCGGCAAAAAAAGCAAACAGCAAGCUUUCAUCAAGCCUUCUCCUGAGGAAGCACAGCUGUGGUCAGAAGCAUUUGACGAGCUGCUAGCCAGCAAAUAUGGUCUUGCUGCAUUCAGGGCUUUUUUAAAGUCGGAAUUCUGUGAAGAAAA